Molecule: long non-coding RNA, 2856 nt
Organism: Lathyrus oleraceus (garden pea)
Lineage: Eukaryota; Viridiplantae; Streptophyta; Magnoliopsida; Fabales; Fabaceae
Exons: 2
Source: RefSeq, a predicted model, not a curated record
UUCUGGUACAUUUUUGGUAGUUUGUGGGAAAGCAAUCAUUAUGUAUGCUGAGAUCUUCAGCACUGAACUACUUUAUAUAAAACUUUAUAAUAAUAUAUUGGAUUUCCUCCUCUUUGUAUGUGGUAUCAUCAUUACCUUUAUCCAUAACUAUAAUUUUGUUGUGGUUCCUUCUCUAUGUGUCUUUUUGAUGGAAAAACUUCGUAUUUCCGUCUCCCUCUUUUAUCCAGUGGAUUUUAGCUCGCUGGGCCCACCAUAUUUCUUCAUGUUGAAGCAGGACAUCCAUUUUCAUUUAAGUCUCCUGGAGUUAUAUCCUAUUCCUGUUUCAGAUAUUAUCAUCUUGUAGAUACUUAUGAUAUUGUUUGAGUUUUAUAAUUUCUUUAGAGGGAUUGGCAUAAUUUGUAGUUCCCCAAUUCCAAAGGGUAUUCAGAGAGUAGGAUAACUUGUGGUUUAUAUCAUGGUUGUUGUUUGAGUUCUAAGUUCCAGCUAUAAUAUUGUUUCCAGAGAUUCCUACCAAAUAUUAUAAAACCUUUUAGGCUUAUUUAUUGCCCUCAUUUUCCUGCACUGAUACUGGCUUUCUUGAAAAGUGAGGAGGAUAUGGUUAUGAUCUGAGUUAUAUCUAGGAAGGUGAGAGUUAUUGAACUGAGGGAACCUAUUCUUCCACCCUGGAGUCACCAUGAAUCUAUCCAAUCUGGCUGAUAUACAAUUAUCACCUUGUUGUUUGUUGCUCCAAGUAACCAUAUUGCCUUCAUAACCUAGAUCAACCAUAUUACAAGCAUUAAAAGUAUCAAAAGUAACAUGUUUUAAUAGUAGUAGUUAAGUUCAAAUCCCCAAAGAUAAGCCAGUUAGGAUGGUUAUGUCUUUGGGCAAGUUUUUUUUUAUCAUACGUAAGACUUUUUUUAUUGGACUUAGGGUAGACGUAGAUGGUAGUCCCUCUCCAAAGAGUAUUAUCACUAUUAUUCUUAUCAACAUUAUUAUUAUGAGUCAACAUAUAGUAGUCAAUAUAGUUUUUAUUAUAAUAAAUGAUAUUGAGAUUAACAUCAGUACUCCACAUAAGAGCCAACCCCUAACCCUCCAUGUCCCAUCAUUGCCACUACUUAUGCUAAACACGUUGGUUAAAAAGCCAAUUCUAGAGAGAUUAUUGAAAAUCACAUCAUUGUUAUUAUUUUUAGUUUCAGAAAAAAAACUGAAUAUUAGGAGAGUAAGGUCUUAUCAAGUGUUUUAGAGCUCUGAUCGUUUGGAGGUUUCCCAACCCCCUGCAAUUCCAAGCCAUGAUCCUCAUCCCUCUGUGGCUUCUUUGUCAGAUAGGCAGGCCAAAAUUGUUGAACAUUAGUUGUAGUUCUGGUUGUAUUGACAUUAUUGUCUUCCCACUCAAUGAGUCUCAUUUUAUUGUUCUAGAUUGAGUGAGAACUCUCAGCUUCCUUGCCAUACUUUUGGUCUUCCUUCAAGGAUAUAGAUGUCAUCUGCUUAAUCAUCAUUUUAGGGAUUGGGCUGUAAAGACUCAUAUUAGGUUUGUUGGUCAGAUUACUGUUGAAUUUCCUCUUCUCAAUGUAAAUAUGUUUUCUUCCCGGUUGAUUGGCUUUAAGCCAUCGGCCUAACAUAAUGACUUCUGUUAUGCCAUGGAUCAGAGCAUUGAUUUGUUUACAGAAAUCAUCACUAUGCCCCAUGAGACCAUAAUAUAAGAAAAAUAGUGGCGGAUUUUUGUAACUAAAUUCUAUCCAAGUUAUGUCAUUAUUCUUGCUACUUGUAUACAUACCGAGGCUAAUGAGGGUUUGGGUGUUCAAAUUGAUUAUGACCUUUAAAAUCGUGGUCUUAUCAUGCAUAUCAUAGAUCCCAACCUCUAUAACUUCUCUAAUUUUCCCUUCUAACUUCAACCCUAUCUGGGUAGUUUUAACGUUUGUAGGUAGGCCCCAAAUUAGAGCUUUAGAGAAAUCUAGUUUGUUGACAGCACUUCUUCCAUCCCAUUACUGCAUAAAGAGCUAAGAAUUUAUGAAUAGCUAAGGGAUACCUUUUAGAAUAUGUUUGUGAUCUUCGAUUUUUUCCAUGGUGAACUUGAAGAUAUUUGGUUCCACUUCUUGGACUAAAAGAUUCUUAGGGUUACACCAAAUGCUCAUAAGGGUUGUUUACAGGGAUCUUUUGUGAAUAGGUUUUUCUGUAACUAUCUUUCCUAGGAUACUGAUUGUGGGUUCUAGUACUUCUUGGAUUUCUUCCGAAGAAACCAAUGACCGGCUUAGCAUCUUGCUUUUCUUUUUUCGUUGUCUCCAUGUUGAUGUUUUUCUUAGUGAUGGGACUGGGACCAUUUGUCGAGCAGAAUUCGUGCUUGUACCAAUGUAUUCCAUGGCAACACAGAUGACACCGGGGAGCAAACCAGGUAUAACAAAAUGCAGAACAAGCUUGCUAACACCAGAUGCAAGGACACACCAGCCAAGGAAAUAACCCAAAAUAGGAGACGAGCCAAGAAACAAACAAGAAUCACAAAUAAAUAAGAGGUGAAACAAACAAGGACUUAAAGGACAAAGGACGAGCCAGAGGGAAGAAAUUGCACAAACACAAAUGCGAAGAAAACAAAAUGAACACCUAGGGAUCACACACAAGUGGAGAAAUAGGAUAACCGCCAAUCAUGAACAAAGUCGUAUGAGGGUGAAGAAAGGAUUGAAAGGAUCAAUCAAGCAAUAGUUCUUGGAACUUUUUUUGGGCACAUUUUCGCUCCAAUGAAAGAUUAAAAAAACUCAAUUUUAUGGAAUCUUCUUCAGAAAGUUAACAAGUGUAUGAACCAACUUUUAUGCCUUUAAAUAUGUGAAAAAUAUAUGAUCGAUGUUUGAUUUUAUAUUCAAGGUUAUUUUGAUUUUUCAAGUUUAA